GAAAAGACUUAGAUUAGGAAAAGUAACUUAGACUUAACUUUUAGAGAAUAGCUGGUUGGUGCAAAGCUAUAGGGAAGCUAAGAGAAGAUCACCUAGGAGUUGGAAACUGAAAGGCAUUUAUGUUUAUUAAGUUGUCACGUGGCCUGCGUUAAAGGAUAGAGUAUGUAAGUACUUGAACUAAACACUAUUUAAAAAAGAGUGUUAGCCUUAGGUGGUUUGCGAUUUUAACUUCGUCCUGUGG
RNAcentral lists this non-coding RNA (241 nucleotides) under Clostridium botulinum. Its description in RNAcentral is "T-box sequence". It matches the Rfam family "T-box leader". From Rfam's summary of the family: Uncharged tRNA acts as the effector for transcription antitermination of genes in the T-box leader family. T-boxes are found upstream of many aminoacyl-tRNA synthetase genes and some amino acid biosynthetic genes usually in Gram-positive bacteria. The record is from RNAcentral. Lineage: Bacteria; Bacillati; Bacillota; Clostridia; Eubacteriales; Clostridiaceae.